CGAACGGGUGAGUAACGCGUGAGGAACCUGCCUCAAAGAGGGGGACAACAGUUGGAAACGACUGCUAAUACCGCAUAAGCCCACGGCUCGGCAUCGAGCAGAGGGAAAAGGAGCAAUCCGCUUUGAGAUGGCCUCGCGUCCGAUUAGCUAGUUGGUGGGGUAAUGGCCCACCAAGGCGACGAUCGGUAGCCGGACUGAGAGGUUGAACGGCCACAUUGGGACUGAGACACGGCCCAG
RNAcentral lists this ribosomal RNA (237 nucleotides) under uncultured bacterium. Its description in RNAcentral is "partial 16S ribosomal RNA". It matches the Rfam family "Bacterial small subunit ribosomal RNA", at positions 99 to 334 of the family's 1533-position model. The record is from RNAcentral.